RNAcentral lists this ribosomal RNA (1719 nucleotides) under Xiphias gladius (swordfish). RNAcentral describes it as "16S rRNA". It matches the Rfam family "Bacterial large subunit ribosomal RNA". Lineage: Eukaryota; Metazoa; Chordata; Actinopteri; Istiophoriformes; Xiphiidae. The record is from RNAcentral.
CGCCCAUCAGCUAGCCCCACCCACCAAUAACAACAAAUCACUAUUAAUAACCCCGAAAACACACUAAAUUUAUUUACUAAACCAUUCUCCCCCCUUAGUAUGGGCGACAGAAAAGGAACUAGCGGAGCAAUAGAGAAAGUACCGCAAGGGAACGCUGAAAGAGAGGUGAAAAAGCCCAGUAAAGCCUAAAAAAGCAGAGAUUUGACCUCGUACCUUUUGCAUCAUGAUUUAGCCAGCACCCUCAAGCGAAGAGCACUUUAGUUUGAUACCCCGAAACUAGGUGAGCUACUCCAAGACAGCCUAUUUAUUAGGGCGAACCCGUCUCUGUGGCAAAAGAGUGGGAAGAGCUUUGAGUAGAGGUGACAGACCUACCGAACCUAGUUAUAGCUGGUUGCCUGGGAAUUGGAUAGAAGUUCAGCCUUGCGGCUUCUCCAUUCACCUCCGUUUCAACUUCCUCCGGAUAAUCCGAGAAACUGCGAGAGUUAGUCAAAGGGGGUACAGCCCCUUUGAACCAAGACACAACUUUUCCAGGAGGGUAAAGAUCAUAAUAAUCAAGGAACAAUGUUCUGGUGGGCCUAAAAGCAGCCAUCCCCGCAGAAAGCGUUAAAGCUCGGACAUACCUUACCUCCCUAUAUACUGAUAACCAAAUCUUAACCCCCUAACUCUACCAGGCCGCCCCAUGCAGACAUGGGCGUGACUAUGCUAAUAUGAGUAACAAGAGAGUACCUACCCCCUCUCUCCUUGCACACGUGUAAAUCGGAACGGACCUACCACCGAAUCUUAACGGCCCCAAACAAAGAGGGCACUGAAAAAUGACCCAAGCAAACCAGAAAACCAUCCAGCUUAUUACCGUUAACCCCACACUGGUGUGCCCCUAAGGAAAGACUAAAAGAAAGAGAAGGAACUCGGCAAACACAUGAAGCCCUCGCCUGUUUACCAAAAACAUCGCCUCUUGCAAAACCAAAGAAUAAGAGGUCCCGCCUGCCCAGUGACAAUCUAGUUCAACGGCCGCGGUAUUUUGACCGUGCAAAGGUAGCGUAAUCACUUGUCUUUUAAAUGAAGACCUGUAUGAAUGGCAUAACGAGGGCUUAGCUGUCUCCUCUUUCCAGUCAAUGAAAUUGAUCUCCCCGUGCAGAAGCGGGGAUAUAACCAUAAGACGAGAAGACCCUAUGGAGCUUUAGACGUCAAAGCAGAUCAUGUUAAACACCCCCAAAUAAGGGACCAAACUAAAUGACCCCUGCUUUAAUGUCUUCGGUUGGGGCGACCAUGGGGAAAUAAAAAACCCCCACGCGGACUGGGAGCACUAAACCCCUUCUUUACCUCUCCUCCCACAACUAAGAGCUACAGCUCUAACUAACAGAAUAUCUGACCAAUCAAGAUCCGGCAAUGCCGAUCAACGGACCAAGUUACCCUAGGGAUAACAGCGCAAUCCCCUUUUAGAGCCCAUAUCGACAAGGGGGUUUACGACCUCGAUGUUGGAUCAGGACAUCCUAAUGGUGCAGCCGCUAUUAAGGGUUCGUUUGUUCAACGAUUAAAGUCCUACGUGAUCUGAGUUCAGACCGGAGUAAUCCAGGUCAGUUUCUAUCUAUGUUAUGAUCUUUUCUAGUACGAAAGGACCGAAAAGAAGAGGCCCAUGCUUGAAGUACGCCUCACCCCCACCUAAUGAAAGCAUCUAAACUAGGCAAGAGGGCAUACCCUUCAUGCCUGAGAGAAUGGCAU